GACUGCCAUGUUGAUGAAUAAUGAAGAUAAAGAUGCUUUGCCGAAAGAAUCUUUCACAUGACUAACAUAACUUAGUUGUUGUGAUUUUCUCUCUCUUCUUUAUUACUCUGAUGCCACUAUUCCCUGUGUGGAAUUUGAAUGGCCAUUACUAAUCCUACUAUUAAUUAGGAUGAGAUCAGCAAUCUUCACGAGAUGGCCUUGCGGGUCAUUAUUUGGGUAGCCAUUUGGAAAUGCGAUAGCCAUUUAUAUA
RNAcentral lists this long non-coding RNA (250 nucleotides) under Populus trichocarpa (black cottonwood). Its description in RNAcentral is "long non-coding RNA (PTRI_LNC001503)". The record is from RNAcentral. Lineage: Eukaryota; Viridiplantae; Streptophyta; Magnoliopsida; Malpighiales; Salicaceae.